UCAUCUUUGACAGAACACCACUACAAUAUGUUUAACAUGUAGGUCCAGACAUCAUAGUUACCUAAUCGAUCCUAAUGACCCGACAUAACCCUCCACCACACAUUCUAUUUGGAGUUGUUGGCAGACUUGACAAGCUCUUGUCCUUCAACCAUUGUACCUCUUAGUCGCCGUUCCAGCAUUAUCCAAAUCCGCCUUGUGUCAACCAAAGCUAACUAAAGAUAAAAGCUUUGUUGUUUGACAGUCGGCAACUAGGAUCUGACUUGAGAGUGUAAGGUUCUUCAUGUAAAUUACUCCAAAAUUAGAGAUGCGUUUCUAGUUUUAGACUGUAAAGUGACAUCAAAUUCCUAACAUGUUAUUACUAAUAUUAUUAUGUACAUGUACUUUCAUAUCAUCACAACCUUCCUAAGUAAUGAUAGGGUAUGUUUGGUUUUUCUUAAAAGUUGUCGUUUAAGAAAGGUACUCUACAGUAAAUAGGAAAGAAAAUAAAGCUCUUAGCCAGGCAUGCAUGUAAUUUUCCAAUGAAUAAUUACAUAGCAUUAUCAUAACAUUCAUCUUUUGGGGAAGCUAAAAGGCUAAUACCAAGGCGUUCUCCUGACCCUUUAUUAAAUUUACAAAAAAAAAAUCCAGAUUCCCAGCAACAUUGAUUGGUGUGGCUACACUAAAAGAGUGUUAAAGUUCUUGAAUAACCUACAG
Molecule: long non-coding RNA, 693 nt
Filed under: Panax ginseng (ginseng)
Lineage: Eukaryota; Viridiplantae; Streptophyta; Magnoliopsida; Apiales; Araliaceae
Description: long non-coding RNA (PGIN_LNC006238)
Source: RNAcentral